RNAcentral lists this ribosomal RNA (261 nucleotides) under uncultured archaeon. RNAcentral's name for it is "partial 16S ribosomal RNA". It matches the Rfam family "Archaeal small subunit ribosomal RNA", at positions 748 to 1008 of the family's 1478-position model. The record is from RNAcentral.
CAGCCGUAAACAAUGUGCGUUAGGUGUGUCGGUAACCACGCGUUACUGAUGCGCCGAAGAGAAAUCGUGAAACGCACCACCUGGGAAGUACGGUCGCAAGGCUGAAACUUAAAGGGAUUGGCGGGGGAGCACCACAACAGGUGGAGCCUGCGGUUUAAUUGGAUUCAACGCCGGACAUCUCACCGGAUAAGACAGCUGAAUGAUUGUCAAUCUGAAGGUUUUACAUGACUAGCUGAGAGGAGGUGCAUGGCGUCAGUGACU